AACUUCUGAAUGUUGACCUCGGAUCAGGUAGGAAUACCCGCUGACUUAAGCAUAUCAAUAAGCGGAGGAAAAGAAACCAACAGGGAUUGCCCUAGUAACGGCGAGUGAAGCGGCAACAGCUCAAAUUUGAAAUCUGGCUCUCGGGCCCGAGUUGUAAUUUGUAGAGGAUACUUUUGAUGCGGUGCCUUCCGAGUUCCCUGGAACGGGACGCCAUAGAGGGUGAGAGCCCCGUCUGGUUGGAUGCCAAAUCUCUGUAAAGUUCCUUCAACGAGUCGAGUAGUUUGGGAAUGCUGCUCUAAAUGGGAGGUAUAUGUCUUCUAAAGCUAAAUACCGGCCAGAGACCGAUAGCGCACAAGUAGAGUGAUCGAAAGAUGAAAAGCACUUUGAAAAGAGAGUUAAAAAGUACGUGAAAUUGUUGAAAGGGAAGCGUUUAUGACCAGACUUGGGCUUGGUUAAUCAUCUGGGGUUCUCCCCAGUGCACUUUUCCAGUCCAGGCCAGCAUCAGUUUUCCCCGGGGGAUAAAGGCGGCGGGAAUGUGGCUCUCUUCGGGGAGUGUUAUAGCCCACCGUGUAAUACCCUGGGGGGGACUGAGGUUCGCGCAUCUGCAAGGAUGCUGCGUAAUGACAU
Molecule: ribosomal RNA, 627 nt
Filed under: Fusarium oxysporum
Lineage: Eukaryota; Fungi; Ascomycota; Sordariomycetes; Hypocreales; Nectriaceae
Description: eukaryotic LSU rRNA
Rfam family: Eukaryotic large subunit ribosomal RNA
Source: RNAcentral